AGCAGCCGCGGUAAUUCCAGCUCCAAUAGCGUAUAUUAAAGUUGUUGCAGUUAAAAAGCUCGUAGUUGAAUUUCGGGAUCAACACGUCGGUCGUGCCUUCGGUACGCACUAGCGUCGUUGGUUCCUCCCUUCUGACGAACCAUGAUGUCAUUAACUUGGUGUUUUGGGGAGUUAGGACUGUUACUUUGAAAAAAUUAGAGUGUUUAAAGCAGGCAAUCGCUUGAAUACAUUAGCAUGGAAUAAUGAAAUAGGACGUUCGAUCCUAUUUCGUUGGUUUCUAGGAUCAACGUAAUGAUUAAUAGGGAUAGUUGGGGGCAUUAGUAUUCAAUUGUCAGAGGUGAAAUUCUUGGAUUUAUUGAAGACUAACUACUGCGAAAGCAUUUGCCAAGGAUGUUUUCAUUAAUCAAGAACGAAAGUUAGGGGAUCGAAGACGAUCAGAUACCGUCGUAGUCUUAACCAUAAACUAUGCCGACUAGGGAUCGGAUGAUGUAAUUUUUAAUGACUCAUUCGGCGCCUUACG
This 520-nucleotide ribosomal RNA is filed under the name uncultured Glomus. RNAcentral's name for it is "SSU rRNA". It matches the Rfam family "Eukaryotic small subunit ribosomal RNA", at positions 569 to 1092 of the family's 1831-position model. Lineage: Eukaryota; Fungi; Glomeromycota; Glomeromycetes; Glomerales; Glomeraceae. The record is from RNAcentral.